Molecule: non-coding RNA, 99 nt
Filed under: bovine gut metagenome
Description: THF riboswitch
Rfam family: THF (Tetrahydrofolate) riboswitch aptamer
About the family: THF riboswitch presents a pseudoknot that joins P1-P2 and the loop of P3 and two THF binding.
Source: RNAcentral
GCAGAGUAGCUUCAGGCGCGUCAAGUGCUCAUGGACGGGGAGUUGCCAUGAGACGAAGCCGGUUAGGUCCGGCGCGGUGCCUGCGGCGCAUCCCGCUGC